AAGACUAUAGACCUGCGGAGUACCUGCGGAAGGAUCAUUAACGUAUCUAUGAUGGGGUGCGGAGCGCCCUGCUCCGGUCGAACGGCCGUGCAGUGGGGGCGCCGCCCCCGUCCCACCUCACAAACCCACUGUGAACAUUCACCGGUGGAGGGGGCUCGGUCUGCGCCGUGUCCCCGAUGCCGAAUACCCAAACUCCAGUUGCAAAGAACGUCGUGCGGACUCGGUGCCGCCUAAAACAUG
This 240-nucleotide unclassified non-coding RNA is filed under the name soil metagenome. RNAcentral describes it as "partial contains 5.8S ribosomal RNA, internal transcribed spacer 2, and large subunit ribosomal RNA". The record is from RNAcentral.